This 253-nucleotide ribosomal RNA is filed under the name uncultured bacterium. RNAcentral's name for it is "partial 16S ribosomal RNA". It matches the Rfam family "Bacterial small subunit ribosomal RNA", at positions 524 to 776 of the family's 1533-position model. The record is from RNAcentral.
UACGGAGGGUGCGAGCGUUACUCGGAAUUACUGGGCGUAAAGCGCGCGUAGGCGGCUUUUCAAGUCAGGGGUGAAAUCCCACGGCCCAACCGUGGAACUGCCUUUGAAACUGUAGAGCUUGAGUGUCGGAGAGGGUGGCGGAAUUCCAGGUGUAGGAGUGAAAUCCGUAGAUAUCUGGAGGAACACCGGUGGCGAAGGCGGCCACCUGGACGACAACUGACGCUGAGGUGCGAAAGCGUGGGUAGCAAACAGG